This 70-nucleotide transfer RNA is filed under the name Gephyromantis asper. RNAcentral's name for it is "partial tRNA-Val". It matches the Rfam family "tRNA". From Rfam's summary of the family: Transfer RNA (tRNA) molecules are approximately 80 nucleotides in length. Their secondary structure includes four short double-helical elements and three loops (D, anti-codon, and T loops). The record is from RNAcentral. Lineage: Eukaryota; Metazoa; Chordata; Amphibia; Anura; Mantellidae.
CAAAGUGUAGCUUAACUAAAGCCUUUCGUUUACACCGAAAAAAUACUUGUGCAACCCAAGUCACUUUGAA